This 523-nucleotide ribosomal RNA is filed under the name Escherichia coli. RNAcentral's name for it is "partial 23S ribosomal RNA". It matches the Rfam family "Bacterial large subunit ribosomal RNA", at positions 1 to 564 of the family's 2925-position model. Lineage: Bacteria; Pseudomonadati; Pseudomonadota; Gammaproteobacteria; Enterobacterales; Enterobacteriaceae. The record is from RNAcentral.
GUUAAGCGACUAAGCGUACACGGUGGAUGCCCUGGCAGUCAGAGGCGAUGAAGGACGUGCUAAUCUGCGAUAAGCGUCGGUGAGGUGAUAUGAACCGUUAUAACCGGCGAUUUCCGAAUGGGGAAACCCAGUGUGUUUCGACACACUAUCAUUAACUGAAUCCAUAGGUUAAUGAGGCGAACCGGGGGAACUGAAACAUCUAAGUACCCCGAGGAAAAGAAAUCAACCGAGAUUCCCCCAGUAGCGGCGAGCGAACGGGGAGGAGCCCAGAGCCUGAAUCAGUGUGUGUGUUAGUGGAAGCGUCUGGAAAGGCGUGCGAUACAGGGUGACAGCCCCGUACACAAAAAUGCACAUAUUGUGAGCUCGAUGAGUAGGGCGGGACACGUGGUAUCCUGUCUGAAUAUGGGGGGACCAUCCUCCAAGGCUAAAUACUCCUGACUGACCGAUAGUGAACCAGUACCGUGAGGGAAAGGCGAAAAGAACCCCGGCGAGGGGAGUGAAAAAGAACCUGAAACCGUGUACG